RNAcentral lists this long non-coding RNA (1066 nucleotides) under Equus caballus (horse). RNAcentral describes it as "lncRNA (ENSECAG00000044222.1)". Lineage: Eukaryota; Metazoa; Chordata; Mammalia; Perissodactyla; Equidae. The record is from RNAcentral.
CGGGCUGCCUGCGGAGCCCAGGCGCUUGGCUUCAGAGGAUGGUGCCCAGCGGCCCCUCCGAUGCCCGCCAGGGACCCCUCCGACGCCCCCGAGCGCCUGCCGGGCUGCAACACCGGAGGAAGCAGGAUGAGCGGGCGCAGAGAGAGGCAGGGAAAGAGGCAGCCGGUGACCACCGCACCCGCGGCCCAGAGCGUCUGCGUGAUCCGGGCCCCAGUUUCUCCCCAGGGUGGCUUUUGUUGUUACUCGCGAUCUGGAAAAUCGGGCCCACAGUGGGUGCCAGGGUGGCUGCCUCCGCCUCCUGCUGAAGCGAGGACUCAGGCACGAGGAGAAGGCCCUCGCAAGGCUGGUUCUCUCCUGAGUCCGUCCUCAUUUGGGGCGGCUGAGAGGGAAGGACGAAGUUAUUAAAGCCUUGCUCCCUGGGCCUGUCACUCAGGCACCUCGUCGCUGGCGGCCUCUCCGGCUGGGUCUUCACAGCCGCCUCUGCAGCCCUGGGAUUCGCUGGUGCUCAGAGGCCUGGCACCCCCACGGCCUGGGUGACCCUUUCUCAGCCCUUGACAGGUCACAAGGUGGUUGAAGAAGGGAGAAGAGGAAAGCGUAAAAAGCAGAAGACAAAAGAAGGGAGAAGGGGGCGUGAAGACAGAGCUGAGAGAGAUUUGAAGAUGCUGGCAUUGAAGAGUAGAGGGGUGUGCCCACAAGCCAAGGAAUGCCAACAGCCACCAGCAGCCAGAAGAGGAGUGACUUUCAAGGACAUGAAGAAGCUGAGGACCUUUUCAAGUGUGGGCAUCACCAUUUCUCUUGGUGCCAGGUCUCAGCUGCCCAUCCAGCCGCUACCUCUGGAAACGCUCCUGUCUGCCCCGGGCCCUCCCCAUGGAGUCUGACCCCAGCACAGACCUCCAGGGAUUCCCGAAGCAGUCCUGGAUGCCACAGACCCCACUGCAGUCCCGAACACCCCUAGCUGCUUCAUCCACCUGUUUGACAACUACCCUGCCCUAAGUAUGCCAACAUAAGCCAUCCUCUGACUUUAUAAAGACUUAGGAACUGCACAGUCCAUGAGACUGUCCAUGCC